Molecule: ribosomal RNA, 446 nt
Filed under: uncultured bacterium
Lineage: Bacteria
Description: partial 16S ribosomal RNA
Rfam family: Bacterial small subunit ribosomal RNA
Source: RNAcentral
CCUACGGGGUGCAGCAGUCGAGAAUCAUUCACAAUGGGGGAAACCCUGAUGGUGCGACGCCGCGUGGGGGAAUGAAGGUCUUCGGAUUGUAAACCCCAGCCAUGUGGGAGCAAAUUAAAAAGAUAGUACCACAAGAGGAAGCGACGGCUAACUCUGUGCCAGCAGCCGCGGUAAUACAGAGGUCUCAAGCGUUGUUCGGAAUCACUGGGCGUAAAGCGUGCGUAGGCUGUAGCGUAAGUCGUGAGUGAAAGGCGCGGGCUCAACCCGGGAACGGCACAUGAUACUGCGAGACUAGAGUGCAGGAGGGGGAACCGGAAUUCUCGGUGUAGCAGUGAAAUGCGUAGAUAUCGGGAGGAACACUAGUGGCGAAGGCGGGUUCCUGGACAUUAACUGACGCUGAGGCACGAAGGCCAGGGGAGCGAAAGGGAUUAGAUACCCGAGUAGUC